GAUGAACGCUGGCGGCGUGCCUAACACAUGCAAGUCGAACGAAGCAUUUAGGAUAGAUUCCCUCGGUUUGUAGUUCUUUAUGACUGAGUGGCGGACGGGUGAGUAACGCGUGGGUAACCUGUCUUGUACCGGGGGCUAGCACCUGGAAACUGCUGGUAAUACAGCAUAAGCGCCCUAUGUUCUUUCACUUGGUGUGAAACACACCGUUGGUAUAAGAUGGACUCGCGUCUGAUUAGCCAGUUGGUGAGAUCACAGCCCACCAAGGCGACGAUCAGUAGCCGAGCAGAGAGGAUGACCGGCCACAUUGGAAGUGAGGCACAGCCCAGAAUCCUACAGGAUGCGGCAGAGCGGAAUAUAGCAAAAUGGAGUGAACGCAGAAGCUGCGACGCCGGGUAAGUGAAGUAAUAUUUGGUUAAGUAAAGCUCUAUCAUCAGGUGAGAUAUUGACGGUACCGGAAUAAGAAGCACCGGCUAAAUACGUG
This 481-nucleotide ribosomal RNA is filed under the name uncultured bacterium. RNAcentral describes it as "partial 16S ribosomal RNA". It matches the Rfam family "Bacterial small subunit ribosomal RNA", at positions 28 to 507 of the family's 1533-position model. The record is from RNAcentral.